Molecule: ribosomal RNA, 525 nt
Filed under: uncultured cyanobacterium
Lineage: Bacteria; Bacillati; Cyanobacteriota
Description: bacterial SSU rRNA
Rfam family: Bacterial small subunit ribosomal RNA
Source: RNAcentral
GCGAGCUGACGGAGCACGCCGCGUGAGGGAUGAAGGCCUUUGGGCUGUAAACCUCUUUUCUCAAGGAAGAAGACCUGACGGUACUUGAGGAAUAAGCCACGGCUAAUUCCGUGCCAGCAGCCGCGGUAAUACGGGAGUGGCAAGCGUUAUCCGGAAUUAUUGGGCGUAAAGCGUCCGCAGGCGGCCGUUUAAGUCUGUUGUUAAAUCGUGGAGCUCAACUCCAUCACGGCAAUGGAAACUGUUCGGCUUGAGUAUGGUAGGGGCAGAGGGAAUUUCCGGUGUAGCGGUGAAAUGCGUAGAUAUCGGGAAGAACACCAGUGGCGAAAGCGCUCUGCUGGACCAUUACUGACGCUCAUGGACGAAAGCCAGGGGAGCGAAAGGGAUUAGAUACCCCUGUAGUCCUGGCCGUAAACGAUGAACACUAGAUGUUGGGGGAAUCGACCCCCUCGGUGUCGUAGCUAACGCGUUAAGUGUUCCGCCUGGGGAGUACGCACGCAAGUGUGAAACUCAAAGGAAAUUGACGGA